UACGAAGGGGGCUAGCGUUGCUCGGAAUCACUGGGCGUAAAGGGCGCGUAGGCGGAUCUUUAAGUCGGGGGUGAAAGCCUGAGGCUCAACCUCAGAAUUGCCUUCGACACUGGAGAUCUUGAGACCGGAAGAGGUGAGUGGAACUGCGAGUGUAGAGGUGAAAUUCGUAGAUAUUCGGAAGAACACCAGUGGCGAAGGCGACUCACUGGCCCAUUACUGACGCUGAGGCUCGAAAGCGUGGGGAGCAAACAGG
Molecule: ribosomal RNA, 253 nt
Filed under: uncultured bacterium
Lineage: Bacteria
Description: partial 16S ribosomal RNA
Rfam family: Bacterial small subunit ribosomal RNA
Source: RNAcentral